RNAcentral lists this non-coding RNA (118 nucleotides) under Nomascus leucogenys (northern white-cheeked gibbon). Lineage: Eukaryota; Metazoa; Chordata; Mammalia; Primates; Hylobatidae. The record is from Rfam by way of RNAcentral.
GCCUGGCGCGAUGGCUCACGCCUGUAAUCCCAGCAUUUGGGGAGGCUAAGGUGGGAGGAUUGCUUGAGCCUAGGAGUUCUGAGACCAGCCUGGGCAACAUAGAAAGACCCCAUCUUUA